CAUAGUACAAAAGUUCAAAGAAGAUGUAAUUUUGUGAUGAAAAAUAUCAGAAUAACUUAUAUUCAAUAAUCAAUAAUUCAUAUACAAAGAUGAACUCAAUUGUCACACGAUUGAUUUUAGGACACAAUUUUCAACAACUCUCACUUGGACUAAAACCAAUCGGGACAGUAUCUUAUACUUAUUUUCUAUUUGAAAUUAUCGAAC
This 204-nucleotide long non-coding RNA is filed under the name Elaeis guineensis (African oil palm). RNAcentral describes it as "long non-coding RNA (EGUI_LNC069221)". Lineage: Eukaryota; Viridiplantae; Streptophyta; Magnoliopsida; Arecales; Arecaceae. The record is from RNAcentral.